AUCUUUGCGCUUGGGGCAACGUCGCUGCUCAUGACUUCCGAAGGAGGCGCGACUUUUGCUGGUUGAAAACUUACUGUCCAAACCCCAAGAGGAGUUUCAUAACUCCUUCUUAAUUGCUGGAGCCCUGACGGGC
RNAcentral lists this small nuclear RNA (133 nucleotides) under Micromonas commoda. RNAcentral's name for it is "Micromonas sp. RCC299 U4 spliceosomal RNA". It matches the Rfam family "U4 spliceosomal RNA". Rfam says of the family: U4 small nuclear RNA (U4 snRNA) is a component of the major U2-dependent spliceosome. Lineage: Eukaryota; Viridiplantae; Chlorophyta; Mamiellophyceae; Mamiellales; Mamiellaceae. The record is from Rfam by way of RNAcentral.